GGCCGGUCUCCUCUACCCUCAGGCCUGUGGUGGAUGAAUCUAUCGAGUCGACCUCGUCGAAUGAGCUCCUCGAUCUCAUCCUGGAGCUGGAUGCAUUCCUCCGUGUCGUGGCCGUGGUCGCGGUGGUAGAGGCAGAACUUGUUGGGGUUGCACUUCCCGGGGUGUGUGCGCAUCCUCUCCGACCUAGGGAGCUGCUCCCUGACCUCCAUCAGUACCUGGGCCUUUGAGACGUUGAGAGGGGCGUAGUUGCGGAAUUUCCCUGGUGGGG
RNAcentral lists this long non-coding RNA (268 nucleotides) under Elaeis guineensis (African oil palm). RNAcentral's name for it is "long non-coding RNA (EGUI_LNC052293)". Lineage: Eukaryota; Viridiplantae; Streptophyta; Magnoliopsida; Arecales; Arecaceae. The record is from RNAcentral.